This 253-nucleotide ribosomal RNA is filed under the name uncultured bacterium. RNAcentral describes it as "partial 16S ribosomal RNA". It matches the Rfam family "Bacterial small subunit ribosomal RNA", at positions 524 to 776 of the family's 1533-position model. The record is from RNAcentral.
UACGUAGGGUGCGAGCGUUGUCCGGAAUUACUGGGCGUAAAGAGCUCGUAGGUGGUUUGUCGCGUUGUCCGUGAAAACUCACAACUCAAUUGUGGGCGUGCGGGCGAUACGGGCAGACUGGAGUACUGCAGGGGAGACUGGAAUUCCUGGUGUAGCGGUGGAAUGCGCAGAUAUCAGGAGGAACACCGGUGGCGAAGGCGGAUCUCUGGGCCUGUUCUGACGCUGAGGCGCGAAAGCUAGGGGAGCGAACAGG